This 328-nucleotide ribosomal RNA is filed under the name uncultured eukaryote. RNAcentral describes it as "partial 18S ribosomal RNA". It matches the Rfam family "Eukaryotic small subunit ribosomal RNA", at positions 1470 to 1796 of the family's 1831-position model. The record is from RNAcentral.
CCCUUAGAUGUUCUGGGCCGCACGCGCGCUACACUGUUCGACGCAGCGAGUCUUAACCUUGACCGAAAGGUUUGGGUAAUCUUCAGCAAAGUCGAACGUGAUGGGGAUCGAUCAUUGCAAUUAUUGAUCGUGAACGAGGAAUUCCUAGUAAGUGCGAGUCAUCAGCUUGCGCUGAUUACGUCCCUGCCCUUUGUACACACCGCCCGUCGCUCCUACCGAUUGAGUGGUCCGGUGAGGCUUUGGGAUCUGAGCGGAAAGAGCGUUUCGCUGUUUCUGCUCGGAAAACUCAGUCGAACCUUAUCAUUUAGAGGAAGGAGAAGUCGUAACA